This is a long non-coding RNA of Dreissena polymorpha, 4312 nucleotides long. RefSeq lists it as uncharacterized. The record is from RefSeq and is a predicted model, not a curated record. Lineage: Eukaryota; Metazoa; Mollusca; Bivalvia; Myida; Dreissenidae. The transcript has 8 exons.
AUGCAACCUAGGAUAAAACGAUAUUCGACAGUUCAAUCUUCUUUCAAUAUAUACAAAAAUAUUUGUCGAAGAGCGGGAUGGGAGGUGAGAUUUACCGAUAGCAGGUAAGUAUUUAAUAAUUAAAAUGAAUUUUACUUUAAAAAUGUGUUUUAAUGCCAUAAUACGUUACCUGCUAUCUAAUAACUGAAUUUGCAGCUGCGGUGGGAAGGUUUGCGUAUAGCUCCCCAAUCCCCAUCACAGCAGAACUCAUAACAAGAGUUAUUAGCUAAUGAUAGCAGAACCCAUAACCAGGGUUAUCAGUUAAUCUUCGUUAGUACGGUAUUGACUUUGACUCCUCGGAUAAGAGUAAGUAUGUCUAUGUCGUAAAAGACAAAACCGUUUGUGAAAGCCAAAGGAGGCCCAACACAUACAAGUUGUCUUGUUGGCACUCCAGAGAACGAUGAUAUAAAAGAGGAAAAUGUGGUCGGAUUCCUCCAGAAAGCAUCUUGGAGCACGUCAUAGAGUAGGGUGUGAUAAUAUAAGCCCACAAAGCUGACAGAGCUCGUAAGUCAUGAGGUCUCCUCGUAAUUCAUGCGGUCUGCUCUUAAAAAGGGACAAAUCUCUAGAUAAGAGAGAAGAGUAAGCCUUUUUUAGUCGAGGCUACCCAACUAAAAAUAGAAGUCGCAGACACAUCCUUCACCCAUUUUUGGGGGAAUGAACAGUCUCUUGCGAGAACCUCGAAUUGACUUAACUCUGCUGAGAUAGAACUUCAAAGCCCCGACUGGGCAGAUGAGUAUAUCUUCAUCUUCAAGAAAAACUUGGGAACUUGAAGCGUUAGAAGCCAUAGAGGGGAGUUGAUUUUUAGCAAGGAAUCCUGGCUGACACAACAAAUUGACGGAGCAAUUGGAUAAAAACGAAGAUGGCCGUCUUCGAUAGAAAGAGCAUGAAUUUUACUUCUCCGUUUGGCUGAAAAGAAGUAAAAUGCUCUUCUAGUUUAGGAACUGGUAAGAAGCCUUGGUUUUGGUACAGUUCGUGGAUGACUUUUUCCGAGCCAUCGUCAAUGAUGACUCAUCAUAAGAACCGUCCAUAGGCCAUCAUGUUACACACGGCCCUAAUCUUUCAUAAAGUCGAUACAUUUGCGGAAAAGCUCACGUCGGUGUUUAUAAGAGAAGCACGUGAACUGGACAAUCGCCGUUUUGCAACAACUAUAACUUCCUCUGUCUACUGUCUCGUACUAUUUUAGUCUCGAGUUGCACACUAUACCCAACGAUGUAUCGUAUGUUCUAUAUAAGUAUUUUCACGACAAAACUAUGGGGAUUCUUAAAUUUCAUAACUAUUCAAGUACAUUUAUUUAUUUCUUAAUUAAAUACUGAAAUUAGUUUUUUUCCUGUAAAAUUCGUAUCUAGAUCGAAAAUGUAUACAUAUUAUCGAAUUUAAUUUUUAUAAGGGCAUCGGUAUUAAUUGUUUUUAUGUAUUUUAUUAAUAUGACAUUUAUACCGAGUCAAAGAAAACGCUAUCUUAUAAAUAACGGCCAAUUUUCGUUGAAAUUGUGUGAACUUUGUAAUAUUAAAAAAAAACAAUGAACACUUUUUUAAGUGUCGCGUAAAACUGUCCAUAGAUCAAUCGAUCUCGAUUCAUAAAGACGUUUUUGACACUCGUCUUAAGCAGCCUGUUUUACCGAUUUUCGUCUUUUUGAAAAAGUACUUGAAUGAAAAUAAAUGCAAAACUGUAAAAGUGUAAAUAUUAAUUGUAAAUUUUAAACAUAUUUUAAUAUGUCAUUUGAAUCGAUCUCGAUACCUCUAAAAGCAAACAACUAAAGUGGUACAACUUCAGCACGAUGGUAUUUGAAUUUGGUCAGUAGUUUAAUCUCAAGUAAUAUGUAUUUUAUGAUGUUUCUUAGUCAUUAGUUCUGUUCUGCUGUUUGGUAUAUUGUUUGAUACGUAUAUUUUUAUUUAACUAUUUUCAUUUUGUUAACAAAAUAAUCACUUUGCAAAACUGUGAAUAAUCCCUUUUAAAUUAUGCAACCUAGGUUUUGUGAUCAAAUUUUUUAUAUAUUUUCUUUUUAAGAGGAUUGACAAUUACAAACAUGAUUCAUUCAUUGUUACAUGAUUGUCUGUCCUACUUAUAAAAUUCCCAUGCGUUUCUCUUUCGUGAACAGGAAAAGUCAUAAACAAAACCGUUCACUAAAACUUCCAUGUUAUUUAUAUCAAUGCAAAUUGUUAAUUCUUGAAAUUAUCAAUUUAUAACGAUUAGUUAAAAUAUAACAACUGUCUGUUGUAUGUAUGUGACGAGUUGUUAGACAAUUGGUGGGUCAUUUUCCUUUUACAAAGGACAUACUCUCGUAGUGAUAAUACAUUUUUGUUCUGCUGGUGCAACUGUAAAUGUAAUUGAACGUUAUUGAUAGGAAAAUGUCCUGUUUGUAAUGGACUGUUGUGAGUACGCUUCUUCUAAAAUUUAUCGCCGGUACACCUGACACUGUUCCCAACUUGAAGAUGAGUGUCGGUCGUGUUUCUAUAGAGGCUUUCAAGCUUUCAUGUUUGAUUUCUGGUGGGCAAGUUCAACAUUUGGAGUUUCAACGAAAAUAUUCAGUUUGAAACUAUUGCCGCAAUAGCAAUCAUCAAUAAGACAUGUGAAUAUAAAUCAACGGGUAAGGUACAGUGUUUAUGUCUGACAGCCAAUGAAGUUAUCUGUAUUAUCCCUGUACACCAGAACGAAAUAGAGCACUCAUGAAGAUGUUCCUCUUAAGUGCAUGGACAUCUGUCUGGAAGCAAUAUUGUUAAUGCAAGUGGCACCAGCCCAAAACCUUCCACGGUUAUCCACAUCUCGGAAGCAGUAACUACGUCUGAGAGAUACCAAUACAUUAGCUUUGGAAAUGAAAGACUGAUUACAACUUCUGUAAUUGAAGAAAAACCGGAAAGCGCCAAUAUCACCACGACAGGCAAUGCAAACAAUACGGCAGAAAUUAAUCGUCAAGAAAGUGAUAAAAAACCUGCCUCAAUGUCGAACAGACAGUUUAUGAUCAUAAUGGCAGUUGUGGGUGUAGCGAUUGUUAUUGGAACUAAUGCGUCCAUCUGCACCUAUUGGAGAAUGAAAAACCGUUCAAGAGUAGAACCACAAUCCUCGACGAUAAUGCUGAGCGAUAUAGAGACGACCACAGAAGAGAACACAGACGUUCAUUAUUAUGAAAUAGAGGACACACCAAGUCAUUUCAGUUAUGACGGUUCCACCGUGCCUAAAUCACUUAACACAAUAGAAGCAAUAGACCACUUCGAAAAUAUCUCACAAGUUCAGUACAAAAAUAUUGCCUUAACGUCAACAACUGAACUCACCAAUAUGAUCCAGAUAAAUACAAAGGGACACGAAGACAACACCUUGCAAACACGCGUCAUUGACAAAAUAAUAUUUACCAGAUACCGUGCAAACUCAGUACAGAGGCCUCUGCAUCCAAUAGCAGCAACAUCUUAAGAACAGCACAAGUACAUGGUGGUUUUAUGACAUUAGUCGAUAUCAACAUUUUUGGCGGUGCUUUUGCGGAUUCAGAUGGCCCUCACGAUCCACCUUGCAACAGGAUCAACAUGAAAUGCUGUCAUUACGAAAAUCUUGACCCAACCGGACGGGAUGGAAACUCACAGUACACCACACUGGUUUGAAGCAUGAAUAAAACCAAAUAAAUAUCCGUAUGGUGUUUUGAUUUUCUGUUGAUUGAAGAUUUUAAUUAUUUAUUAUUUAUUUAUGCAACUUUAUUUUUCUUUGAUACCGUGGAAUUUAAAGUUUUCAACGGAAUAGAACAUUGUUUUGUAUUUAUAUACAUAUAAAUAAGCGGCAUCGUAUGUAUCCUUGCGGCAAGCCUCGCCGUAAAAAUAUGCUUAGCCUUUCCUGAUAUAUUACAAAAAGAUCAGGCAGUAACCUGUUAUUCUAUAUAUAUGACUAACGAUAAUUAUCUUGUAUGCUUGUAUUAUACUCACAACAACUGACUGACUUCUGAUUUAAGUUUAAGCGCUAGAUUCGGGAGAUUUAGAAGGCAAUAAAAGAAAAUGUACCAAUAUUGUUCACAACAGAAACAUAGAUAUCAUCUCUUUUCUUAUUUCAAACGUUUCCCUUUAUGUGGUGUGUGGUAUUCUUUAACAACCGCGACCUUUCCUCUAUCACGUUGAGUCACUUAAUCUAAACAAUGCACAAUUGAAUUAUAUGCUGACUUUAUAUACUGACUUCAUGGACAAUGUGCUGUACCUGCAUCUUUAUUUUGUCACAAUCUUCAAUUAUACUGUACAAUGACUUCAACACCAUUUUAUUAAAGAUUAAAAUCCUGACCACAAUAUGUAUACCAUGUAUG